RNAcentral lists this long non-coding RNA (498 nucleotides) under Elaeis guineensis (African oil palm). RNAcentral describes it as "long non-coding RNA (EGUI_LNC079787)". The record is from RNAcentral. Lineage: Eukaryota; Viridiplantae; Streptophyta; Magnoliopsida; Arecales; Arecaceae.
CGGUGUCUUCCGUACCUCUCCAACCAUCAACCUUCAACAAUGCCAAUCGGACUUCAAUAGUGCCAACCAGACCCCUCGAACGGACAAAUUUCCUCCGGACCCCUCCAGCGGUCGAUCUUCCACAGUGUCCUCCAGAUUCCUCCAGCAAUCGACCUUCCACAGUGUCCUCCAGACUCCUCCAGCGGAUGAACUUCCACAAUGCUUUCUGAAUUUCGCUAUCGGUCGACCUUCUGUCGGAUUUCUCAUGCAACCGGACCUUUCCAGCGGACAGUCUUCAGACAAGCUUCUACAUCAGACAAAUUCCAGAUGGACUUCUCUAGCAAUCGGACUCCAACCGAAUUUUUUUAAUAGAAAGUUUCCGUCCGGACUUCUAAAGCAGAUGACUUCCGUCUGCAGCAUCAACGCCUAAGGCACCCAACAACAGUUAAUCCGUCAGCAACCUCGGAAACAUCCGAGCUUCUCUUAGAUUGCUGAGACAGAGAGCUAUUCCGCUCCACC